AUGAGGAAUUUUCCGCAAUGGGCGAAAGCCUGACGGAGCAAUGCCGCGUGAAGGAUGAAGGCCUAUGGGUUGUAAACUUCUUUUCUCAGAAAAGAAUUAUGACGGUAUCUGAGGAAUAAGCAUCGGCUAACUCUGUGCCAGCAGCCGCGGUAAGACAGAGGAUGCAAGCGUUAUCCGGAAUGAUUGGGCGUAAAGCGUCUGUAGGUUGUAUAAAAAGUAUUCUGUCAAAGAUUAGGGCUUAACCCUAGAUAGGCAGAAUAAACUUUUAAGCUAGAGUUUGGUAGAGGCAGAGGGAAUUCCCGGUGGAGCGGUGAAAUGCGUAGAUAUCGGGAGGAACACCAAAGGCGAAGGCACUCUGCUGGGCCAAUACUAACACUGAGAGACGAAAGCGAGGGGAGCAAAUGGGAUUAGAAACCCUUGUAGUCC
This 426-nucleotide ribosomal RNA is filed under the name uncultured bacterium. Its description in RNAcentral is "bacterial SSU rRNA". It matches the Rfam family "Bacterial small subunit ribosomal RNA", at positions 354 to 796 of the family's 1533-position model. The record is from RNAcentral.